This 460-nucleotide ribosomal RNA is filed under the name uncultured bacterium. RNAcentral describes it as "partial 16S ribosomal RNA". It matches the Rfam family "Bacterial small subunit ribosomal RNA", at positions 338 to 795 of the family's 1533-position model. The record is from RNAcentral.
CCUACGGGUGGCAGCAGUGAGGAAUAUUGGUCAAUGGGCGCGAGCCUGAACCAGCCAAGUAGCGUGAAGGAUGACUGCUCUACGGGUUGUAAACUUCUUUUAUAAAGGAAUAAAGUGAGGCAUGUGUGCCUUUUUGUAUGUACUUUAUGACUAAGGAUCGGCUAAGUCCGUGCCAGCAGCCGAGGUAAUCUGGAGGAUCCGAGCGUUAUCCGGAUUUAUUGGGUGUAAAGGGAGCGUAGAGGGGUUGUUAAGUCCGUUGUGAAAGUUUGCGGCUCAACCGUAAAAUUGCAAUUGAUACUGGCAGCCUUGAGUACAGUUGAGGUAGGCGGAAUUCGUGGUGUAGCGGUGAAAUGCUUAGAUAUCACGAAGAACUCCGAUUGCGAAGGUAGCCUACUAGACUGCCACUGACAUUGAUGCUCGAAAGUGUGGGUAUCAAACAGGAUUAGAUACCCUUGUAGUC